RNAcentral lists this unclassified non-coding RNA (264 nucleotides) under Hevea brasiliensis (rubber tree). Lineage: Eukaryota; Viridiplantae; Streptophyta; Magnoliopsida; Malpighiales; Euphorbiaceae. The record is from RNAcentral.
AUUAGAGCUUGGGGACAGUCUGAAGAUCUCGAGUAUUUGCCUGUCUUUCACCAAACAUAUGUGAGUUUGCAAGGAAGAAGUGUGCCUCGGUCAGUUGAAGAUGGGGAUUCACCCCCCAUGCAUUAUUCCUUGGAAUCAUUUGUUCAUCAGCAACCACUGUCUCCUCCUGAAAGAUAUCCUAUUCCUGACUCAGGAUUUGAUGAUGAAAACCAUGCUACAUUGGGAGAUAACAGUCGGACCCUAUCAGUUGAAGAAAAGAAUGAA